AAAUAUCUUGUUGGUAGUAAUAAAAAAUAAAACCCUAAAAACUUGGCGGUUAUAAUUUCUUAAAGAAACUCGUUUUUUAAUCGAUAAAACCCGAUAAUUUUUACUUAAAUUAAAAAUUUAUAUACCGCCGUUUAAAAACUGAAAUAAAUUAAAAUAAAUUUCCUAAUUAAAAAUUUUUAAAGAUCAGGUCAAGGUGUAAUACAUUUUUAAGAAAAAAUAAGUUACAUAUAAAAAUAAUUUAAGAAAUUUCUAUAAAAAUAAAAAAGAAAAAGAAUUUAUAAUUAAUUUAAAAUUAAAAAUCUUAAAAGAAAAUUAAAAUUAUAAUGC
Molecule: ribosomal RNA, 327 nt
Filed under: Carapoia sp. Br15-48
Lineage: Eukaryota; Metazoa; Arthropoda; Arachnida; Araneae; Pholcidae
Description: partial 12S ribosomal RNA
Source: RNAcentral